This 284-nucleotide unclassified non-coding RNA is filed under the name fungal sp. RNAcentral's name for it is "partial internal transcribed spacer region". The stretch from base 1 to 46 matches the Rfam family "Eukaryotic small subunit ribosomal RNA", at positions 1786 to 1831 of the family's 1831-position model. Lineage: Eukaryota; Fungi. The record is from RNAcentral.
AAGUCGUAACAAGAUACCCGUAGGUGAACCUGCGGGUGGAUCAUUAUCGAAACUUUCGCCGCGUGCGAGAGAUGUCUGUGAAUCACCUCGGUCUUCCGUCUGCCCGGAUAGGGCCGAGAAACCGGUGCCGGAGUCUUGAUGUGGGCAAGACGAAGGUUGCCAUUUGAACGCAUUUAAGAUGCCGAGACAUAGUGUACCUGGUACGCUUAACGAUGAACGCCCUGGUGACGGGGCGGGAUUCAAACCUCUAUACAACUCUAAGCAGUGGAUCACUCGGCUCACGG